AUUGAACGCUGGCGGCAGGCCUAACACAUGCAAGUCGAACGGUAACAGGAAGAAGCUUGCUUCUUUGCUGACGAGUGGCGGACAGGUGAGUAAUGUCUGGGAAACUGCCUGAUGGAGGGGGAUAACUACUGGAAACGGUAGCUAAUACCGCAUAACGUCGCAAGACCAAAGAGGGGGACCUUCGGGCCUCUUGCCAUCGGAUGUGCCCAGAUGGGAUUAGCUAGUAGGUGGGGUAACGGCUCACCUAGGCGACGAUCCCUAGCUGGUCUGAGAGGACGACCAGCCACACUGGAACUGAGACACGGUCCAGACUCCUACGGGAGGCAGCAGUGGGGAAUAUUGCACAAUGGGCGCAAGCCUGAUGCAGCCAUGCCGCGUGUAUGAAGAAGGCCUUCGGGUUGUAAAGUACUUUCAGCGGGGAGGAAGGGAGUAAAGUUAAUACCUUUGCUCAUUGACGUUACCCGCAGAAGAAGCACCGGCUAACUCCGUG
This 490-nucleotide ribosomal RNA is filed under the name uncultured bacterium. Its description in RNAcentral is "partial 16S ribosomal RNA". It matches the Rfam family "Bacterial small subunit ribosomal RNA", at positions 30 to 507 of the family's 1533-position model. The record is from RNAcentral.